GAUGAACGCUGGCGGCGUGCCUAAUACAUGCAAGUCGAGCGAACAGACGAGGAGCUUGCUCCUCUGACGUUAGCGGCGGACGGGUGAGUAACACGUGGAUAACCUACCUAUAAGACUGGGAUAACUUCGGGAAACCGGAGCUAAUACCGGAUAAUAUAUUGAACCGCAUGGUUCAAUAGUGAAAGACGGUUUUGCUGUCACUUAUAGAUUGAUCCGCGCCGCAUUAGCUAGUUGGUAAGGUAACGGCUUACCAAGGCAACGAUGCGUAGCCGACCUGAGAGGGUGAUCGGCCACACUGGAACUGAGACACGGUCCAGACUCCGACGGGAGGCAGCAGUAGGGAAUCUUCCGCAAUGGGCGAAAGCCUGACGGAGCAACGCCGCGUGAGUGAUGAAGGUCUUCGGAUCGUAAAACUCUGUUAUUAGGGAAGAACAAAUGUGUAAGUAACUAUGCACGUCUUGACGGUACCUAAUCAGAAAGCCACGGCUAACUACGUG
Molecule: ribosomal RNA, 497 nt
Filed under: uncultured bacterium
Lineage: Bacteria
Description: partial 16S ribosomal RNA
Rfam family: Bacterial small subunit ribosomal RNA
Source: RNAcentral